Long non-coding RNA from Jatropha curcas, 790 nucleotides. RefSeq lists it as uncharacterized. Lineage: Eukaryota; Viridiplantae; Streptophyta; Magnoliopsida; Malpighiales; Euphorbiaceae. The record is from RefSeq and is a predicted model, not a curated record.
GAUUUUUUGUGGAUUGAUUGUCUCUGACUAGCAGGCUUUGUUUCUUCUGCCAUUAGGAUCCUUUGGGCUCGAGCUCUAGCCUGUACAGUCACCAAUGCCUGCAUACACCGAAGUGUAGCAGUGGCCUGUUUCCUUACAAGAAGACAUGUUAAUUUCCAGAUUAAAGAUAAAAAAAGAUCAAGAAUUGCGUACCAGAUAAGAACGGAAGACGGACUGAAUCUUUAUGGCAGCAGCCUCUUCAAUAGCACGUGUUUUCUGAUUGGCAACAGUUGUUAGGCGGAGCACAACAGCUGCAUCAGCAGCUACAGCUGCUGCCAAAGCCAUUGCAUGUUUCUUCUGCUCGUUUUCAGAAUCUGAUGUAGCCUGCACCGGGGGUUGUGAUGUGGCAGUCGGUUCUGUAGAAUUCAAGUCCCUUGGAGUUGGAGCUGUUGCUGUUGCUGAAGAUCUGCGAAAACUCCAUCGCCUUUUUUCUUUCUGAGUAGUUGGUGUGGUUGAAAUUGGAGUCACUGGAUUCUCAACACUAAUUGUUAGAUUCUGAUCAGUUGUAUAUUUUUCUUUAUCUUUCUUUCCUGUCAAGAAACUUCUAAGCCAUUUCCCAGCUUUCCCCAUUUCUAUAAUCUUUCUAAUCUAGGGUGCAUUGGAUUAUAGCAAGAUCAUAAAGAAAGAAACAAGUGAGAUGCAAACAGAUCUCUCCGUUUCUACUUAUAUUUUCAUAAGUAGCUUUCAACACUGUAGUGGUCCACCUUAUUACAACACUAUCUAAUUGCAUUCCCUUUUUUUUACUGCCUAA